Molecule: long non-coding RNA, 219 nt
Filed under: Gossypium raimondii (Peruvian cotton)
Lineage: Eukaryota; Viridiplantae; Streptophyta; Magnoliopsida; Malvales; Malvaceae
Description: long non-coding RNA (GRAI_LNC006524)
Source: RNAcentral
GCAGCUGUAAUAGGCCAAUUUAGCCCGGGCCCAAAUAAAAAAAACAGAAUAUAAAAAUAAAAAAACAAAUAAUAAGAGUCCAAGUCCAUUUACAAAAAACAUCAGGCCCAAACUUACAAACCCAAAUGGCCCAAAAAAAUAAAAAUAAAAACCUUAAUGGCCGAGUGGACCACAACCUAAAAUUUUUUCAGAAAAAAAAACCCUAGUGCUCCCUGCGCC